GGAUACCAUGCAGCUCAGCAAACAGCCGAUCAAUGAAUGAAUGCGAUGCACCGGUAUCAAACAAAGCUCUAGCUCGAAUACCAGAAAGUAAAAUGAUACCUGCGACCACAUUCUCGGCUGCCGCCGCCUCCUCAGUCUGGGCCGCGUACAUGCGCCCGCUCGGGGCCUGUCGUGACCCCUCCGUCAGCCGCUGGACAGGUGGCCGACCGGCCUGGUGAUGCGCAGAAGAUGUCCCCUGGCUGGGACCUGGCGAUGCUGGUGCAGAUGCCGCAGAUGGCGCUGGUAAUGGACUCCUCGGGCAAUCCGACUGGAAGUGGCCCUCCUGGCCACACAAGAAGCACCUGCCCCGGCUGCGUGAACACUGCCGCGGGUAAUGAGGACCGCCACAGAUCACGCAGCGGGGAGCCUGACGACGAUCGGGUCCUCCUCGCUGAGUAGACUGGCCGCGUCCUCGCGACUGGCUCCUGCUCCUGGGAUGCCUCGGCGGCCUCCGUGAGUGCGUCUGACUCGCACCCUCAGCCGCUGGCCUCUUGCCCUUGCCCUUAUCUAGGGCCUCGCGUCGCUCCUGAAGGUCUGCUGCUCCGGCCUCCACAAUCAACGCUCGAUCCACAACCUCCCGGUAGGUCUGGAGGUUGGAAGACUGCACCAACCGAAAGAUAGAAGGCCGUAACCCGCGCUCAAAGAUGCGGGCCUUGUCCUUGUCAUCCCGCACCACAAAAGGCACACAAUGGAGUAAUCGAGAAAACUCCCUCUCGUACUCGGCCACGGACCGCUCAUCCUGGCGCAAGCUGCGCAAGUCCUGCUCCAUCUUCCUCUUGACGCUGGUAGGAAAGUAGUGCGCCAGAAAAAGCUCCUUAAACCGCGUCCAUGUGAUCGCUGUCAAGUCGGUGCUGGGAUUGUCCUGGAUAUCCAACCACCAACGGUAGGCCUCGCCGUUCAGAAAGUGAGUGGCGAGCCAAACUCUAUCCCGCUCCUCCACAAAGGUAUCUCGAAAUAGUUUCUCCAUAUGUAUCAACCACUUCUCAACAAUCCAGUGGUCGACAUUCUCGCCAUCAAACAUCCUCGGGCUGCACCUCCUGAACUCACUGAGGCGCUCCAUAAGCCGAUCUCGCUCGGCUCCCUCGGCCAUCACGGGGAAAACUGCCCCCGUCACCGGUCUCUGCACUGGGGGUACCGCAGCCACCUCCUCCCGAGGUGUGGUCGCCGGUGCCGCACGGGAAGAACUGGGCGCAGGAGACUGCGCCCUCGGUGCGACGUCCACCACGGGUGCUGGCGGUGUAGGACCCUGGGUCUCCCUCGAAGCUGCCACCUGCUGAAGUAGGAGGUCCUCCAGAUGCUUCAUCCGCGCCUCCUGCCGCUGAGCCACCUCAGCCUGUCGCUGCGCCGCUGCCGUCUGCUGCGCCAACAGAUCGGUGAGAACCGCAAGCUGUACCCUCAAGUCACGGACCUCACUAGAUCCGGAAGUAGCGGAGGUCUCGACCUCUUCGGGGUGUGCCGCAUCAUCCGACCCGGCAGACUGGGAGCGUGUAAUCGGCAUCGUCACUACAAAACAUAAAAGCGCAAGUUAAUAACCCACGCUAUCGCAUCCCCGCUCAAAUAGAUAAAACCCCAAAUCAUGCGAAAGUAAGGAAGUGUCCUUCACUAUUAACUCUCGAUGUUACGUUGUCGGCCGCCAACGUAACCCUCCGCGAAGUUAGAAGUUAUACACUUCAAUUUAACUCCACUUUCUAGAGUUAUCCAAGAUACCCAAUCUAGAUACUUUCGCUUACAAAUCGAAUAGACCUCGUCUCUCACGAGCCUAUUUCCUAUAGUCCAACCGGCCUAAGGUUUGCUAGGUCCACUAAGACUCAAUCCUAGGCUCUGAUACCAAAUUAAUCUGGCAUGCCCCGGGACCGGCGGAGGCCCUCCCGGUAGCGUGCCCAGACCCGCCAUAUGUCUACACAUAUAAGGCGUCUACAAUAAAAGCGGAAGUAAAAGCAAGUAAUAAAACAAAUAGAAGAAGGAGAAAUAAUGAGCAGCUAAUGAUAUCAGAGCGAGUAAAGUUCUAACAUCUACACCAAGGUAAAGUAGUAAAGCUAGACAAUAAAAGAAGUCAUAAGUAGUACAAUAACUGUCUCUAGUACAAAAAUGGUAGUCUCUAGUACACUGGUAAAACACUCAACCUCUCGCAAAAAUAGAACAUAAAUCGAGAGGUGGACCACCUAGCAACUCGUCCUCGAAGGAAGCUAGCUCGAAGCAACUCCCUUCCCGCGAUCCCUGGCCUCACCCUGAGUGGAAGGCUCUGAAAAAUAUCGAGAAAAAGAGGGCGUGAGAACUAUAAUUUAUAGUUCCCAGUGGGCAAUUACUGACCUCAGCUCAAUGCACCACUAGGCCCCAAAAGGAAAGGGUAAGUACUAAAGCAAUAAUAAGAGUAAUAGCAACAACAAUACGAAAGCAUAAAUGAAGUGCUAAACCGCUAUAUCUCAAGUAAACAUGAUGUCAUGGUGAUGUACAUCUACGCUGUCAUAAGAUAAUAUGUCAAUGCAUAAAGAGUAAGCUCUAACCAAGAAACCGAGUAUACUACGAUGCAACAAUGAAACCGGCAAGUAUGCUAUAUGCACCAAUGCUAUAUCAUGAGCAUGUCAAAGUAAUUCAACUACUAAACCUAUCUAGUAGUGAUUAUUCAUUCUCAACACUGUGUCGAAUUCUAUUUUCAAUUAAGGACCCACCCAAGGUGGCCCAGCUUGUGCCGCCUAAGUGCCUGUGGUAGCCCGACAUUCCUACUCUUGGAAUGUGUAUGUCCCACUCGACCCCGUAGGCUUCUCAAUACCGCACGAACGAACAUAGUCGCGUAGGCUAACUCCGGAGUGCCGGCUUGUAGGGAGCGACCCUCAUAAGCAUGUGCGAAUGAGCACAAAUGGCAAGCAAGCAUAGUCCAAGUCUCAAAUAUCCAAUCCUCAUGUCUCUAACAUGGUAUGGUCACUAGCAUCACGAAGAUCUAGUUUAAGUCAAAAUGUGAAGUUUCAACAUUUGCUACGCCUAGUGCCCCUUGAUGACACUUAGGCAAUUUGAUGUUCAACAUGUAUUUCCAAUCCCUCAAUGGCCCUAUCCACUAGGUUCUCACAUAUCCCGAGCUCAAUGCCGCUUGAUGACAUUAGCUCUUUAAAUCACAUACGAUUCAAGUUCGGUGACCCAAUAUGGCCAAUGUUGUUAUCUUUCCUGUCUCAAUUAAACUUAAGUUUAAACGCAUGAAUCAAAACUCAUUUACACUAUAAGCAACAUGGCCAACAUAAGAAUGCUAGAGAAUCCCGCAUAAGCUUCAUAUGUACUUCUCUACCACUUAGAGGUCCAAAAUUUUUUCACUACAUGUGACAUGGGUAUUUUAAGCAUUCCAAUAAUCAUAAUAAAUGCAUGUGACAUGAUUAUGCAUGAUUUUCCAAGUUACGAAAUAUAAUUCACCAUAUAUGAGAAUUUCUCAUAUUAUAGGCUAGGUCAAACCCACCAAAAUCGAAACUCUCGAUCCGCCGAACGAAGGUUUCGGCAAGCUCCCUAGUACCCCAAGAGCAACAAAAACGGGGUUACCCAAACGAAACGAAGAGCGAAAAGCUCAAACAUUAAGCAUCUAGCAAAAUGGGCAAAACUCACCUCAAGAGAAGAAAUCUCUUCCUAUGCUCCAAAAGAGAGCUAGAACCCUUCCAAUCUAACCUAGAGGAAGGUUCUAAUCCAACCAAUUGAGCUUCAAAAGUCCUAAAACGAAAAUGCCCAAAAUAAACCCUAAAACACCAAAUCUAGGGUUUCAUUUCAAUGAAACCUUCAAAAACCAAAUCUAGAGGGAAGGACCUUGUCUCUUACCUCUUAGAAGCUUCAAACCAAGCUCAAAGUUCUCAAACUUCAAGAGUAAUCCCUGAAACAAGCUCCAAACCUAAGCUCCAAGCUUCAACAAUGGUGGAAAUAGCUCCAAAAUGCAAAAGAGAGGGAAAAACCAUCAAAACCCAAGCAAAAAGGUGAUCAAAACCAAAGGGAGGUGAAGAGGUUCUCCCUACCUUGCUUCUCCACGGUUUCCAGCUCAGGGAGAGCUCCAUGGGGCGUGGGGACACAUAUAAGAGUCCACAAAUGCGAAAAACCCCCUGCAGUUUCGAACAGUUCAAAAAAUCUGCACUGCGUACCGGUACACGGGCCCGCGUACCGGUACACAUCCCACGAAAAUGCCAAACCCGAGCCUCGGGUUGGCUGAAAAGCUGCCCGUGUACCGGUACACACUCCCGUACCGGUACAACCAUCAAGCCUGUACCGGUACAGCCAUCAAGCCUGUACCGGUACACAGCCCAAUAAAGGCUACCCGAGAGCUAACCAAAAAUCCAAUUUUUCGGGUUUGGGUGCUAGGCUUCAAACCUCAAUCCUCGGGACUCGAACCACGGGUCGGAACACUGUCUACGACCGUCCACAAAGUGUGAAAAAGUUCGGAACACAACGAAUCACUCGAACAUCGCAAUUUGCGAAAGUCCGGUGUGUUACAAUACCAGUGACGCCCACUCGCGUACCGGUACCCUGCACCCCGAACAGCAGAGUGAGUCUGCUGCAAAUAAGAGAAGUUGGAGGGUUUAUUUGCUAUUGUAGCAGCUUAUAAAGACCCCACACUCUCUCCACUUUUGUUCACAGCCAACACAACCUCUCCUCUCUCAUUUCUCUCCCUCUCUCUCUCUAAAAGCUCUCUCCUAAGGUGGGUGAGAGGUAGAUAUGGAGGAGAACUUGGGGAUUUGAAGGAGAUUUUGGAGCUUGGAAGGUUCUAGGGCUCUCCUACAAGGUGGAGCUUGGAGAGCUUUUGGGCUAAGGUGAGGUUUCUUGUAAGAUUAAUGUUAGGGUUUGGUUUUAUAACCUAGAACACUUGGCUUUGAUCUUCGUACAUGAAAGGAAACCUAGUAGAAACCAUGGAACUCAUGAAAAUCCAUGGUUGUCCAUGUGCUCUCAUGGUAGAUGUCUAGGGUUUGGUUCAAAUGCUCUAAGAAUGAUUUAAAUGGUUCUAGAUGAGUUUCUAGACGGUGGCUAAGCUUACUUUUGCUUGUCUUAGAGAUCAAAAUGGUGUAUUCGGCAAAUGGCAUUGUUAGGGCAUUAAAAUUGGAGCUUUUGUCCUAGAUGAGUUUGAAUGUAAAUUAACCAUGUAGAAACCAAAUUGAAGGUAUUUUCGACGCGUUGGUGGGCUCGGUUCGAAGAUCCGACAAAUCUACGCCAAGGAAUUGGAGAAAAAGUGUAAGGAAGUGAAUUCUCGAAAUCCGAGAGUUGGACUUCGUUCGGAAUCGACUAAUUGUCGAGUGGGUAUGCUUCGGAAAAGCCGAAGUAGUCAAAAGCACCAAAAGUGCAUUGCGACGGAUCUCGGAGAGCAAACUGUGCAAAAUCUGCACUUGGCAGAUUCUGCUCUCGGGGACCAGUCCCUGGCAUGAGGGACCGGUUCCCGUAGGCUCGGUGCGCAGGGAAAACCCUCUGCGCACAAGUAUUGCUCUCCGGGAUCGGUCCCUGAUAGGAGAGACCGGUCCCCGUAAGCGAAAUGGUGUCCGUGGGGACCGGUCUCCCAGUGGAGGACCGGUUCCCAUAAGUGUCCUGCGAGAGCAUUGCUCUCGGGGACCGGUCCCUGGUGGGAGGGACCGAUCCCCGUGCGCGUAGAAGCUUGCAGAGAGCUUUCUGCCCGCAUGGGAUGCUCUCGAGGACCAGUCCUCCAGUAGAGGGACCCGUCCCCGUGCGCGAAAACUGCCCAGUUUAAGCAGUGUGAAAGAAGCAAAGUUGAGAGGCUUGGGUGCAAUUGUUACAUUAGUUGAGGGGUAUAGAGGGGAUGAGCCCUCUCUUCUCUCUCAUUCUCACUCCAAAACACACAUCUCUCUCACUCUCUAAGCUCUCUCUUCCUCUCUCUUGAAGUGAAGAAGGAGAAGAAGGAAAGGAAGGAGAAAAAGGUAGAGAAGAAAGAGAAGCAAGCUAGGAGAAGGGCUUGGUCAUCCUCUUCUUUCUCUCCUCACCAUUGGAGCUAGCUUAGAGGUAAGCUUUUGAGCUCAAUAAUGGUAGAAACCUAGGGUUUAGAGUUUUAGCUCUAAAAAUGGGUCAAAUGGACCUCUAACAUGCUUAAUAGAUGCUUAAUGUUAGAAUCUAAAGAUUUGUUGGAGUGGUUUGCUAUAGAUGGAAACCUAGAGCUCCAAAUUGGGGUUUUGCUAAAUAGUGAGGUUUGAUCUCAAUUGUUGGCAUCUAAACCUAAUUGAUAGGCAUCUAAACACGUUGGCGAAGACGGAUUGAGCAUUCGUCGAGUCGUUGGAAAGAUAUCGGCAAAAAGGUGCCGAGUGAGCUUCAUUUCCACCUAGGAGGUUGAAGCGACGUCGUAACAAUCGCCGAAUAGCAAUUCUAGAACCUCUACAUCGUUAAAAGGUGGGGGGUGUCAUCCCGAAGCAACCGGGUUCCCUAUUAUGUCUUAGAAUACUAUUAAUUUGCAUCUCUUGCAUAUUGCAUUGUAGGAUUGCAUUGUUAUCAUUUCCUUAUGCUUUCUAAUAUAUAUCAUAGUAUGAGUUGAAUACUUGAUAUAGUGGAUAGAUAAGUCGAAAUCCGAGAGUUGAAUAAUUGAGAUCAAUUGAGGUUUGAUCUCAAUUGAUGGCACUCGGUAGCUUUUUACAUGGACAAAUUUAUAAGAUUAAAAUAGUAAUUUUAUGCACCCACCAUUAAAAAAUUAACGGUGAGCCAAACAGCAAGUAAAAGAAUGAGAAUUUUUGUGGGAUAUGUUUAUAAAUCUGAAAAAUUUUGAAAGAAUAAAUCUGAUAAUUUAAGUUUUAUAGGAUUAUAUUUGCUAUUUUAUAUCUUUGUAAGGACCUGCGUGAAAUUAUAUAACCCUUAAUUAAACAUCAGUUACGGGAUGAGAUGGGGCUAGCAAAUCGAUCGGUUAACUAUAACCGGCUAGAGAGAAGUGGUUGAGGGGCAAAUUAGUCAGUGGAAACCGUUAUUCUCCCGUUACCCACACACAGUAAUUAAUCAAAAACAAAUUUAUUACAUGAACCAAGUGCAUCUAUAUAUAAUAAAUACACUUUUCCUCUUCAGCCCUCUAUUUUGUCACUCUAUUUCAAUGGGUCCGACUAUGGUUCUUCCAGAGUGCCAACUCAUGUGUUGCUUUCAAUUUUUUAACUCUUAAAUCAACUCUUUUAAUCAUUUAUAAUUCUUGAAUUAAUAUUAUUCCCAUAGAAUUAAGGACCAUUAAAUUCCAGGAGGACCAGUCAACCCUGGGUUAUUACUAUCAUUCCAACCCUAUGAUUCUUAAUCCAAAGACUGAAAAGGCGGAAGUACCAACUCCUAUCUACCUCUAAAAGCAUAGUAACUCUUCACCUAUUUCAAUUUAACUCUACUUUUUUUUAAUAAAAAAAAUACAGUAACAAAAUAUGACCGUUGAUUAAGGUGUGAGAAAAAUUUACAAAAAUUUGAUAGUCGAUGCACGUAUUUUCCAAUGCACCGAGUGUAAAUAAAUUCACGUGGUGUAUAAAUUGUGUCCCCAGCUAGCUAACUCCGAUAUAUAUAUAUAUAUAUAGUAGGGCUAGAAUACUUGUAAAAGUAUCAUGGGGGUGAUACUUGUGUGUUUUUAGUUCUUGGAUGGAGAGAUGUGAGGUUGAGAUGAUGGUGGUAGGUGGUGGUAGGUGGUGGUAGGUGAAAUAGUGUUUAAUCCAAGGACUAUUAAUAAUCAAAAAGUAGAUCCAAUGGCUUAAAACCUAAUAGCACCAUAAUGGUGAUACUUGUAAAAGUAUCAUAGCUCAACUCUAUAUAUAUAUAUAUAUAUAUACUAGUGAAGGCCCGCGCUUCGCGACGGAAAAUUUAUAUAAAUUUUAAAAUAUUUUGAAUAGAAUACUAAACAAAGUAAUGUAAAAAGAAAAUGGAGGAUAUGAAACGAUAUGUUUCAAAUGCAAAAAAGAAAAAAAAAAUGAUACAUCAAUAAAGUGAACUAUAUUAAUUUAUACAGUAAAGCAUGCCGAAGAAAUUAAAUAAAAGUAGCUACAAAUAUAUCUAUCAACAAAACCGAAAUAUAAUUCAACUAUAUAUUUUGAGAGAUUCAACGUUUGUCUCCGCAGCCUUCAUCAAUAUCACUUGAACCGCAAAGCCAACAAUAUAAGAUUAGCAUUUGUAGGUUAAUAGCAAAUGGAGUUGUUAUCUAAAUUUUAUAUAUAUAUAUAUAUAUAUAUAUAUACUAGUUGAAUGUACGUGCAAAUGCACGUAACAAUUAUUAUAAUUUAUUUCAAAUCAAUAUAAAUUUGUACAUUAUAUAUAUGCAAAAUUUUACAAUAAAAAUUAUAUUUAUAAAUUAAUGUGUUAUAUUUUAUUAGAAAAUAUUUAUAAUAUCCUACCGUGUUCUUUUAUUUAUAUACAUCGAACAUUUUUAUAUACUUUUUGAUUUUUGAUGAAUCAAAUUUUAAAUCAUGUAUUUCUAAACUUAAAAGCAUCAAAAUUUAAUUCACAAUUUAACUUUAACAUUUAAAAUUUAGUUGAUCCACUAUAGUAAACAGAAUUUAAUUAUUAGUUCAAAGUUGUUAUCAAGGAAAAAUUACAAUUGUAAUUCAUAAUUUUAACUCAAAUUUCUACUUUAAUGGCACAAAUAGAUUCCAAUCAGAAAUGUACGUUCUUCUUUAACAAUCGUCGAUCAUAACCGCUUUUUCGUAAUUUGAGAUACUUUCUUUAACAAAUUGACUGUAAUGCGUUCAUCCCAGAACUUGAACUUCUUAUACGAUGGAUCGCCGAACUGCAUUUUUUAAUAGAUUGCGUAUACCCAUGUUCAUCUAAUUUGAGAUAUUUUCGUUUACAAAUUGAUCAUAAACUCAUUUAAUAGGGCACACUCAAAUGCUCGCCCUUGUAUAUUGUAAGUUAUGUUACAUAAUUUUAUUCUAUUUGAUGUAUUUAUCUGUUCUUUCACUUCUGUUUUACUUAUUUACCUUAUUUUUUAACUAAUAUUUCAAAUUCAUUGAUAUCAAUUUUCUUUCUCGGUAGGAUUUAAUAUCUUUAUAUUUAAUAGAGUCUGAUUAUUUUAUACCGUUAAUUCUGUCUUGGUAGACUUCUUAUUCUUUUUUUAUAAUAAAUUUCUAUCAUAAACCUCUCGUAGGCAAUAUUAUAUUUUAUUCUCCUUUUUGGAUUCCGGUUGUCUUUCCCUGUCAGUCUUAAUUUCUAUUAUAGUCGUCUUUAUUAUAUUUAUCUCUAGUUUUCUUUCUUUUUAUAUUUUUUUUCUAUUUCUAUUUUGAUUUAUUUUUUUUUUUGUUUGUUUGGCUGACCUAUAGGUACCUACCUAGGUAUACUAUAUAUCACUAGGAGACCCGGAGGCAGAGAGGAGACGAGGAGUUGAGCCUAGAAUACUCUCGAUAGUCAAACGACCGCGUUGUUAAGCUACCCGACGUUUUUUCGAUGAUCCAGAGCUUCCAAAUUGACGGAUCGGUCCGUUAAAAUAACAUCUCUAAACUAUUUAACUACCUAAAAUAAAUUUGCACGCACUUUCGACCUAUUGGUUCUUUUAUCCAUCUAGGUGAGACAACAAAUGAACUGGCGACAAAUGAAUUCACUCUCUUGUAAACUUGAUGGUAGCGAGUCUUUGGUAAGCAAGAUCAAAAAAUAAUUAGAAUCUUGUUCUUAACUAGUUUAAAGAAUUUUCCUAACAAAAAUCAAUUGAUUUCUGAUAUCUUUAAGCACCGUUACACACGAGCAAAGUCUCCUUACGUCCACAUUAAAAUUACCAAAAUUUUGGAACCCCUUCUGCACUCAUCUAGCGCAAAUCGAAUUCGGAAAAGAUUCUGAAUUUGAUUUCUAGAACAAUUCAACGUGGUAUACCAAUCAUCCGUUCAACGGAACCGAGUCGUCCAACAUUUGGCAGCUCCUAUCCAUCGAAAACAACCGCAUAGUCCCAAACGCCCCCGUUUAACUAUCAGACCAAGUAUAUCUAGCUCAAUCUACUACAGUAGUAUAUACUAUUAUUACUAUACAUAGGUACAUAAUAUAUACUUAUCUUAUAUAUUAUAUAUAAUAUACCCUCUCCAUAUCUAUGCAGUACCUAAGGCGGCCUUUCUUUGUAUACGGAAUUUCAUAUAAUUUAUUAGAUACCUGUGCUGAGCUGUUAAUAAUUAAGAAUUCAGCCAGUCAAUUUGGGAUUCCACGAAGAAUUCCAAAUUCAGCAAAAAAAGCAAAUCUAAGUAAGAAUAAGAGUAAGGCAAAAAGUCGAGAGUUUCAACAAACACCAAACACCAAACCAAUGCACCGGAGCAGUUCAGUUCUAUUCUUUUCAACACAUAGUGAAAGAAUCCGCAAGCAUCAAGCAAUAAUAUCUAUACAAUAUACCUAAUCUGGUUAGGUUAAAUAUGUUUCCAAGAAAAACUGAUUUGUAUGAAAAAUAGUCAAGGGUUGCUACAGGAGGCGCCCAUUUAAUAUGUAACCUUGGGGGAAAGAGCAAAUUGAUACCAUUGAAAUUAAGCAAAAAACCCACAAAGUAGUCUUAAGAAAAAAUCAAAAAAGGAGAAAAAAAUGCAAUGAGGAGUUAUCAAAAAAGGGAAAAAAAAUGCAGUGAGUUUUUUUACCAAACAGCUGCAGAAUUCAUACAAAACGCAUAUAAAACUCAACCCGACACUCGAGAAAUAAAAUUGGAGGAAAUAAGAUCAAGUUUAAAUAGCUUCGGAGAUAAAUUGAAGUUCUUUCUCUAAUACAUUACUAACCCUAGAACAACAUGUAAGGCUAGGAGGAAAGUUGGAAUCCAAAAUGAGUUUUAGUUUAUCUCAUAGAAACAUAUCAAAAUAAGGAAAUGCGGAAACUUGGAAAUGAAAAUUAUACAAAAGUGUAUAUAAGCCUGCAAAUUAGGUACUUACAUCAAAAAAAUGUGCAUUUAAAAAGGAAAAACAAAUCUAUAAAUAAUAUACAUGUUCAGCAGAUUCGGCUACACAAAAAAAGACCAAUCCAACUGAGAACACAUGUUUUUUUAACCUCCACAGGUGCAUGCUGAACCAAAGCAAGUAAUGAGUAGAGCACCCAAAUCCCCAACCGGAUUAUAAAACAAAUGCAUGAAAGAAAGAUGUAAAGCUCUAUAUUAAAUCAGCUUGUGAAAAUCACACCAAAUAGUAUACAUGAAUGAGGAUGGAAAUAAACAAAUAUAAUAUGCUCAGACUCCGCCCGACCAUCAAAGAUUAUUACAUUGGCACGGAAGCCUUCUUGAUUAAUAAUGCUAUCUGAGUUAUAACCUAUAUGCACACCCCAAACAAAAUAAUCUGCAGUUGAAGUUUGUAUUGUCAAUAUCAAGGCCUUACAUUUUAGAAUGCAAAAAAGCAAUAAUAAAUGCAUAAAACUACCUAUUAAUCAUCAUAAUAGCAAGAAAGUGUAGCAGAUAGUGUAAACGGAAACGACAACAGAGAGUUCUUUGGGAAAUCAUUGUCCGAAGUAAAUAUUUUCUGUACUUUCCUCAGCUUAUCAUUAGUGCCUCAUAGAAGAACCAGAAAAUAGAAAGUGACGGCAGGGAAAAUAUUCUUCAAAAAAGCAGGAAAUAAAUUAGAUGGUUCUAUUAUGCUCAAUGAAAAUACCAUAAUAGACAAUGAUAAAUGAAUAAAAAAACAUAAUCCAAAGAAUCGUCAAAAGAAUAUGCAUGCAAAAAAAGUCCGAGGAAGAAUUCAAUUCAAAUGCCGAUAGCCAAACGAAAAAAAGUAUUUAAAAUGUCAAUAAGCAGGGAAGAAUCCAAACAGUUGCAUAAAUUCUGUUGUAAAACCAAUUUAAAGAAUCGCCCAAAAAGGAGACAAAAAGGUAAGGCUCAGUUAAGUCGAAUCGGCAACAUUGCUCAUAAGUACUCGGCAAGAUUGGUCAUAAGUAUAGGGUAGUAGUAGGAGCAAUAGAUUACCGUAGGAGGGAAAUGUGCGCAACCGCCAAGGAUAAGGAUGGUAAGAAGCGGCUCCCGAGCAAGGGUAAGACAAUAUGAAGCGGUUGCCCAUGAGUAGGCCAUCCAAACUUCCACUCGUUCGAAGUAAACAUAUUCCACACUUUGCGGUUGCCGAGCAAUAAAUUACCGUCAGAGGGAAAUGUGCGCAACCACCAAGGCUAAGACAAUAUGAAGUGGUUGCCUAUGAGCAGGCCGUCCAAACCUCAACUUGUUCGAAGCAAAUAUUUUACGCACUUCCCUCAACUUAUCAUCAUCGCCUCAAAGAAGAGCUAUCAUCAUCGCCUCAAAGAAGAAAGAAACAGCAAGGAAAAUAUUCUUCAACAAAACAAAAAAUAAAUUUUUAGGAGGAAAACAAAAUCUUCAAGAUGGUUCUAUUACACUCAAUGAAAAUACUAUAAUAGACCAUGAUAAAUGAAUAAAAAACAAAAUCCAAAGAAUCGUCAAAAGAAUAUGCAGAUUGGAAAUUUAGUCAACAGGAUUGCCAACAGGGAUGCAAACUAAAAGAGUCCAAUAGUAGGCCAUCCAAAGUGUGCUCAUAACCAGCUAAGAAGGGUCGGGUCGACCCCAAUCAUAGAAACUAUCCGAUAUUUAAGGGGAAGGUCAUCAUAGAUACAAAGAACGGGGAAAAAAAAUAAAUAACAUUCCAAUUCAGCUAGGCAAUCCAGAAUUCAGCUUGGGAAUUCGAAACUCAGCUAGUCAAUCCGGGACUCCAUGAAGAAUCCUAAAUUCAGCUAAAAAAAAGCAAAUCUACAUAAGAAUAAGAGUAAGUCAAAAAGUCGAGAGUUUCAACAAACAACAAAUACUAAACCAAGGCCAAAAAUCUCGGGAAUCACACGAAAAACCCAAGGUAACGUUUGCAAAGAAGAGAAGAGUAGCAAGGCAAAAAAUAAAGGGGAGGACGAAAAUUUUCAUAAUAAAUCAGUUCGUGUUCAGAUAGUCAAUUCAGGAUUACAUGAAGAUUUAUAAAUUCAGCUAAAAAAAAAAAAAGCAAAUCUACGCAAGAAUAGGAGUAAAUCAAAAAGUCAAGAGUUUCAACAAACACCAAAUACCAAACCAAGCCAAAAAAUCUUGGGAAUCAUACAAAAAAUCCAAGGUAAUGUUUGCAAAGAAGAGAAGAGUAGCAAGGUAAAAAAUUAAGGAGGAGACAAAAAUUUUCAUAAUAAAUCAGUUCGCGGGAACCAUACCAAAUAGACUAAAUGAAUAGAGACGAAAAUAAACUCUUAACAAAUAUGUAGUAACAGAAACAAAACCUAAUAGUAAAAAUAAAUAUACUUUGCUCAGAUUUUCCCAUCUAUCGAACAUUAUUAGACCGCCGUCAAAUUAGUUUUCUGCAUACGGGUGAGCAACCGGUUGCCUACAAAGUAGGCCAUCCAAAGUGUGCCCAUAACCAAUUAAGAAGGGUCGGGUUGACCCCAAUCAUCGAAACUAUCCGACAUCCAAGGGGAAGGUCAUCAUAGAUGCAAAGUAUGGGUGGGGAAAAAACAAAUAACAUUCCAAAAGUAAGGAGCAUGGCAGGACAAAAUCAUAUAAAAGCGCCAACCUGAUGACGAAAAUCGAGCCUCAUGAGCAGCAGGCGAAGAACAAAUUGUAAUUAUUCAAAAUAACAGUUUAAAUCAACGGGAAAUAAAACCAACAAAUACGUAAACUCAAUGGGAGGAAAUUAAGUUUUGUCAAACACCAACAACAAAUCUGUGAAAGAGCAAAAUAUGUCUCCUCCAAACUCCCAAGAGUGAAAACCGAAGCAUAAAACCAAUGUUCGCAAACCACGACAAAUAGCAUAGACGAAUUGCGAUGAAAAUAAACCAUUCGUAAAUAUAUUGUCACGCCCCCGCCCCGAGACCGCUAACAAUUUGGUCCGGUUCGAGCGCGGCGAACGAACGCCGAACGGACAGCACCUCCCCUGUCCGCUCAAGGCUCAAACGAGAUUGUGUACAACGAGUUCCCAGGAAAACACUUGAAUAUAUACACAAUCAUACAGCAACUAGCGAGAGCACAAACAGUGCUAUACAAUCCAAGAGCAAGCAACACGAGUAAAGCAUACAAGUGAUAAAAGAGAGAUAUACUUAACUAUUUAAACUCAUUUAACUUUAAUACAUUUAUUACAAUUUGCAUUCUUCCAAAACAUGUAUAUGUAUAUACAAUCCUUUCAAAAUCUCACCCUAUACAUCAACUACUCUCAAACAUAACAUAGGGUAAAGCUAAUGCAAGAGAAGGUAAAGCUAUCACUACUACCACUAGGGCGCUAUGCCCUUGCCGCGAUCCUCGCGCUCACCGGGGACACUCGAACUCGGACCUGUAGAGAGUGGGGUGAGAACUAUCUUCCAUAGUUCCCAGUGGGUUCGGCCGCCGACUCCGCCGAUCUCCCUACUAGGUCUAAGCAGGCACAGAUAGAUAUGCAGAUAGAUAGGUAUAUGAAAUUGAAAGCAUCAACGAUAAUAAGCAAAUAUGAAAUCACAAUCUGUCAAUGCCUCAAUCCAAUAUCAUGAAUGCAUGAACUUGUAGUAAGGCUAACUACUAUGCCACUAUAUUCAAGGAUAGCGUUUACUCGUCAACUUGUCCAAUCGAUCGGCUAAUCCGAAACUUGUUCUCAAUCUCACGUGUGUAAGCCUCAUAGGGAAAAGCCUCGCUGAACUAUUCCCCGAGACUGCCUGUGGACAGCUCGCAGACUGUCCGGGCAGUUAUUUGGACUGCCCCUCUAGUAACAAAUACUCCGGAGUGCACAGCUUGUGGGGAGCGACCCUUACAAGCGCAGACAGGCUAUGUGAGCACGGUCCAAUCCUUGUGAAUUGGGAGCACCCUACCAACUAGGGAAAUCAACUUAGAACCAAUAAGUAUCUAACUCAUCAAUCUAGUGUUUCAGCUACACUAAGAUUUUCAUAUGCCACUUGUCAUAAGUUUACAUUGACUAGGUGCCACUCGUCAUAAUUUAAAUGUUCUCGAUGCACUACUUGUACACUAUCACUAGGUUAUCCUUUACCUAGGUUCAACUCACCAUACAACAUCACAUAUAGGGUAUUAGGCUAGAUCACAUCAUUCUCAUACAUACUAGAAUCAAUAACUAACUCACUUAGUUACACGACCACUAGCAUGCAAGUAUAAACAACAAUAAUAACCAUCUAACGCCUAUAUGUAUCAUGCUCAAUAUGCAUAUUAGGUCAACAAUAAACUCAGACAUAGGGAGCAGUUCAACUGCUUCGGGAUGGCACCCGCCACCUCUUUGGUAGUGCUGCAAGGGUUGAGAAAACUUGACUUCGCGAUCCUAAGUCGUCGCCUCGACUCCUCGGGCCAAUACAAACCCUCGAGUGCUUGUUUCGGCGAUAUCCCCGCACUCGCUCGUCGUAUCGACGAACCGUCUUCGCCCCCGCGUUCAGAGACCUAACAAUUAGGUUUGCGACCCAUCAAAUUAGAUCAAAACCCUAGAUUUCCAAAAACCCCAAAUCCGUGCCCUAUGUUGGCAACAACGGAGAAAUCCAUGGUUCAAGCCUCGGAUUCGAGCUAGAACCAUCUAUUAUACUCCAAUAGGUUCCAUUCGAACCAUCUCCAAAGUAUAAAACCCAAGCUCAAAGAAUCCACCAUGGUAGGGUUUUGAGCUUACCUCUAAAAGCUUCUCCAAGUUUGGGGGAGAGAAGGAAGAAGAUGAUCUCCAAGCUCUGUCUUCUUCUCCAACUUCUCCUUCUUCUUCUCCCCCUUCUUCUUCUCCUUUCUUUUCUCCUUUUCCUUUCUCUUGUUUCUAGAGAGAGAGUGAGAGAAUGAGAGUGUGGGAGAGGGAAAUGAGAGGGUAAGUGAGAGGAAGGGCCCCCAAGCCUCUCAUUUAGGCAUAAUUGCAGAAAACCCCCUCAACAUUCCAUCCAUGAAACAGCCCUGCCUGGCCAUUUUUUCGCAGUGAGGGACCGGUCCCAAGUCGGGGAGACCGGUCCCCGAGAGCCUUCCAUGCUGCAGAGGGCUUCUGCCAACAAUUUUUGCGUUCGGGAACCGGUCCCUGCUCGAGAGACCGGUCCCCGGGAGACCGGUCCUUGCCUGAGAGACCGAUUCCCGAGAGCCACACUUUUGGGACUUAGCCAAUUUUUGGCUUCUCACCAUUUUCGCACACGGGGGACCGGUCCCCCUAAUCCUGGGAUCAGUUGCAUCAAGCUAUCCCCGCAACCCAUAGCCUCGGGGACCGGUCUCUCCCUGCCAGGGACAGGUCCCCGAGAGCAAAUUCUGCCCAUUGCAGAUUCUGCACUAAUGCUCUCGCGGACUCUUUCUUAAUGCACUUUAUACAUUUUAAUCACCUUCGGACUUUCCAAAGCCUAUACACUCGACAAUUAGUUGAUUCUACACGAAGUCUAAUCCUCGGAUUUCGAGAAUUCACUUCCCUUACAUAUAUAGUAGUGAAAACAAAACCCGACAGCGGAAAACAAAUAUAUUUUGCUCACACUCCAGGUAGAUAAUUUAGAGUUCACCUAGGCAAUCCAGUAUUCAACCUAGUAAUUCAGCAUUCCCUGACGAAUGUAGGGAAAAUAAAUAAACUUUACUCAGACUCCUCAAGCUAUUAAACAUUAUUAGUUUCGCACCGAAGCCUACUCAGUUAACAGCGAUAACUGCAUAAGAUCCCACACGCAAAUCGAAAGUAUUCGGAGUACAAAUAAGAGCAACCGGUUGCCUACAAAGUAGGAUGUCCAAAGUACCCCUAUGACCAACCAAGAAUGUCCCCGAUUCUCUCAAUUAUUGCAACCAUUUGACAUUCAAGGGGCAGGUCAUCAUUUUGAAUUCGAACCUUUUAUAUGCAUCAAAUAUCUUGAAGCAAUUCAGAUCAAAAUUCUGAGCUCUAAACUUUUAUAUGCAUCGCAUAUCAUGCUUUUUCUUAUUUUUGGGUUUCGAUCAAAUCUGAGGAUGACUGAGCUAUUUAGGAUAAGGGGCUAGAUAGGAAGAUCAUUGAUAAGCUACAUCAUUACUAUAGUUCUGAACUUGCUGUAAAGGAGUUUGUGUAUAAUAGUGAAGAAUGUUAUUUACAUUAGGACCUCCCCCACAAAAUAAUUUCGAGAAUUCAGAAUUCAUAUUCACAAUUCACAAUUCAAAAUCCAGAAUACAAUUCACAAUCCAAAAUUCAAAAUUUACAAUGCUAAUUCAUAUAAAAGGUUGCUUAUAGAGAUCGCAUUAAACCAAACAAAACAAUAGCACUAAAAAGGUCCAGAUAAAGUUUCGAAAUUCAAGGUAUGUAGUAUCGGCAUCAAACCAUACAAUUGAAGACGACAACAAAUUAUAUUAGAUGGAAAAGAAAAUCAGGAUUAUAAAAAUUUGAUGAGAAGCUAAAUUUUUCUAGCUGAGAUACACAACAAAAGCAAAUAAAACACCUAAGUAAAAACAUCCAGGGAUAAAACACCUAAAUAUUAUAUAAGCAAAUAGAAUAAUUGCCAGAAAAUUAUGAAAUAUGAAAUAAUUAAAUAAAUUUGUUGACAGCUUAAUGCUCUAUCAAUGCUUGAUGUAGAGAUGUUGGUCUUUAAUAAUUAUCAAUCGAUCAGUAGAAAGGCAAGCAGAGGAAAUGAUUCUAAACUUUGAAUGAAAUUCGUAUUUUCUGAUAAGCUUUUUAAAUAAACUAUUUCAUAACUGCAACAGCAUUAAACCAAAGAAUAAUCAAAAUAAUGUAACGAAGAACAAAGUAGACCACAGGAAAAAAACUAAUCACUAAAUAGCAUACAAAAAAUAAAUAAACUAUGACUUCCUAUCAAUCAAAACUAAGUACAGAAAGAACAAUUACAAAGUAGGGAAGAUAGUAGGCAGCCUGAGCAAAAACCAAGAAAAUAGAAAGAAUCAGUUAAAGAAUAGUUUAGAAGCUACGACCUGAAGCUCAGCACCCCAAACAGUAUAAAAGCAAAACUUUAAGGCUCAAGUAUCAUGGCAAUUCUACCACCCAUUUCAUUUAAGUUACUGAAUUUUUAUUUUUCGACCUCCAACAGUUCAUACAACAAAAUGAUUAAAGAGAACCAGAUUGGCUUAAAAUCCAUUUGAAUUGGUUUUGUUUGGUUUUUUCAAAAUUAAAAACCAAAAAGUUUCAUGUAGAACAUUGGUGAAAUCAACCAGAAAUAGUGUGACAAAUCAGAGACUGGUCUACUUAAAAAACAAAAAGUAAAUAAAUAAAGAAACAAAGUAGACUGGGAGGGAGCAAUAUUUAAAAUAAAAGUAAUACCAACUGUGCAACAUAUCAAGUAUUGGAAAGCUUGCAAAACUUAUAAAUAGGUAGGCAAGAGUAGCUUUGCUGAGGAAAGAGGCAACAACAAUUACUUGUAAGAAUGUAGGAAGAGAUAAUUCUCAUAGAACACCACAGCAUAGAAAAAAACUUGUAUUGACCAUCACUGCCUCUCUCAAAUAAAUAAAACACUUCAGUGUUAGCUGCAAAUUAUGAUAUUGAAGCUUCAACACGUUAUGUGCAUAUAAAAUGGCCAAAUUUGUAGACUUAGAUAGAGCCAUGCUUUAGCAUUAAUUUUAUGUAGAGAUAGGCAAUUAAGAGUCUGAUAGUAACUCAUAAAAUAAUUAAUUUUACCAUGUGAAUAGGCAGGCAACCAAUAUAUCACUGUUUUUCAAUUUCUACGGUAGUAGCAAAAUCUAAACACUCAAAGUAUUAAGAAAGCGAUGGGUCAAAAAAUCUACCUCAGAUCAGUAUUUUCUCUAGUUCCUAUAGAAACCAUAACUACUCAAAAAACUAAACUAUGUAAAAUAGAAUAAAUCUAGAGAGUAUAAAAUAACAUUCAAAAAAAAAAUUUAGAACGCAACAUGGAAAGAAGGCUCAGAUUCAAUAUUAAUUUACAUGCCAAAAUAGUUUCUACUCUUCUCUUCAAGUGCAAAUCAAACUUUUGUAAAGGAUUGAAAGCUGCAGUGGUUGCCAUGUGGCCAUCCAUACUGCCUCGCCGUCCAAACCUUAUAAUAUGAAUUUGAAAAAUACUUAAAAGAGAAGAUAGAGACCUUAUGAAGCUUCAUCAUCAAUGUAUGAAACCUAUAAUCAAGCAUCGAACUUCUGAAUACAUUGUGAUGUUUCAACUCAUCAUCAUCGCCUAUUAUCAGAAUUCUUUUUCAAAUAAAAAUGCUUGACUUUUUUUUUGGAUAAAGUAAGCAAUAAGAAAGAAUAUAUAAGAAUCAUACAAAACAUAAAAUUUCAAUUAAGCAAUAGAUUGCAAGAGCAAGCAUAGCAAAAUAAAAAAAAUAAAAAAUUGAUAGUGGACAGAGAAUCAAAGAAAAGACUCUAGUGGGCAUUUCAUCAAACAUAUGAGGGGCGCAGAAAAAUGAACAAAUUUUGGAGCUCCCCUUGCUCCACCCAGUAGAGAGAGGUAGAGAGAGAGGCAUUAGGGGAAGAGCAAGAGAGGAAUAAGCUUGAAAAUGUGGGUAAAAUAACCAUCGGCUAUGAAUGCGGCAUCGACGCACUGGAGAAAUCGUUGGAGUCAUCGGAGCCAACGGCUAUGGCAUCGCCACUGUCUUUGCCAUCGACGAAGGGGAAUCCUUGUAGGCUUUGAUAGCACCCACAUGGCGUAAGAUCCACACGGCGUAGAACCCACACGGCGCCAGUUCUAGAAAAAAUUGGACAGAGAGCAAACCAUCCAAUUGGGCAAGGAAGUUUCGGCGGCGGCAGGGAUGAGAGGGAGGAAGGGGGAAUGGCAGUGAAGCAGAGAAAAGGGAAGAGGAAUUUUGUGAAAGGCAGUUUCGUACUCUGGCAAACAUGGACAACUCCUUGGCUUGCACAUGGGGAUGGGUGGAAGGAGACAUACCGUAGCACGGCGACAAAGGCCCGGGGUUUACGGGUGGAGUGACAACUCCCCGCAUCCUACGGCAUCUGCGAAGGUUAGCCUUCACGAGAGAAGGAUCGGGAGAGAGGGAUCGGGAGAGGAGGGAUUCGGGAGACAGCGUUCAGGAGACGCGGGUAGGGCGACACGUAGCCGUGCGACCACGUGAGCGCAACUCGCACCCGUGCACGCCGCUGCCACCGCCCGCUGCAGGGGCCACCGAAGCCCCCCCCCGCCAAACGCGGGGAGGCUUCGAAGGGGCGCGAGAGGGAACGGUAGAGGGGGGAUGCUGAGGAGGCGACACGUAGAGCACAGUAGAACUCAAGAAUUAAUAUUUCUAUAGAAAGAUACUAGUUAGUCAGUGUUGAUCAAUGAAAAGACAACAUUCGCUCCCAAGGAUGAAAAUACUAUGUAUAUGAUUUGUAUCCGCUUUAGAGGUGUACCACUUGCAUUGUUAUUUAUCAAAACAGAGAAAUAUACAAAAUGCUCCUAAACUUUUGUACUUGUGUAGAAUAAUAGUAAUAAUAAUUUUUUAAUUUUGGCAAUUAGCUUUUACAAAACUUAUCAUAUACUUCAAUAAGCCCUCUCCUCAAUCAAAGUUGCUAAUUACAUUGCUAUUUUGAUCGCUUGUAUUGGACAUAGUAUUAUAAAACUUAAUUUGAGAAAACAAAAUAAAAAUUAUUUUGCUGAUUUACAUAUGAGUUUGGCUACUAUACUAUCAGCAGUACAAAGACCUCCGUACUAUCAAGUUGUUUUCGGCUCUAUUAGAUUUGAUCUACGUUAUUGAAAGUGUUUGAAAAUUAAAUUUUAUAAUUUUUCAACAUCAUUUAGCUAUUAAACGAGUAGUCUAAAAAUGAAUGGUUGAAUAUAAAAAUCUCAUGAAAUAUGAUAACAAAAUAUUUGAAUUUAAGAUUCGAGAUACUGAUCUUACUCUAAAUAGUGAAGAGAAUUUUUUAUAAAAAAUUCAUCGGAUUUAAAUUGUUUUACACCGUUAAAUUCACAAAUGCAUCAUAUCGAUCAUUAAAAUUAUCAAUUUUGAGACAUUUUGAUCACUAAUAGCAUACAAAAAAAAUAUGAAAUUUGGUUUUAAAAUAUUUCCAAUAGUAUAGAUUAUGUUUAAUAGAACUGAUCAUCGAUUCAGUAGGCGCAUCAUCGAAAACAACUUGGGAGCACGAAUGCCUCCAUGCUAUCGUUAGUAUAGUAGCUAGAUUCUUUAUAUCUUUUAAAGCUAUACAAAAUUAAAUGCAAGACAUAUGAUAAAAAACGAGACCUAAUUUUGUUUUUUUCUUUUUUCGAGUUUGGGCAUCUUAAAGCUGACAAGCAGAUACUUACCCUAUUUAGACUAAGGAACUAUUUGAUUCCAUGUAAAACUACAAAAAAAAUAAUGUUUAUGCAAAAUUUGCAAGCAAUUCAUCAUCCACUUCUAUACUAUUUCAAAUAAAAAUUGGUCUUUUUUUUAAAGAAAAAGACAACAAUGCCAAAGAGGCCAAAAUUAAUCCACCAAGUGAUUAUUUUAAUGUAAAAAUGUUUAAAAUUUAGCUGAACUAUAGACUAUUUUGAUUCGACCAUCUCACUUUUCAAAAUUUUGAUUUUAGUACCCAAUUUUUUAAUUUGUUUGAUUUAAAUAAUUUUGUCGUUAUUUGUACACAAAAUUUAAGCUAAUUGCAUACUUUAAUUAAUUUAUAAUUACUUAAAUUGUAUAAAAUAUAUUAAUUAAACCCAUAAAGAUAAAUGAUGCGUUUAAAUUUUAAAAUUAAAGGGUUAAUAACAGCUUUUUUUAGAGAAAGAUAGCAUGCUACCUGUUUUACUUAUUUUUUUAGAAAUAGACCUAAGUAUAAAUGUGAACUAAUUAGGAUUCGAAUUUGGGACCUCAGGUACCAACCACCAAGCCCCCACUUGUGCUAGGGACAGUCAAUUACAGGUCAUGUAGUUAAAUCAAAAUGGGUUAUACUUGAGAUGAGUUUAUACAUUUUUUAGCUUGCUCUAGAUGGAUACAAGAGUACAGAUUAAUUGAAAUAUCGUAAGACAAGUUUUGAUCCCCUGAUAAAGAAUAUUAAUGUUCCAUCCUAUUAACAUGUGAGAUUUAUCUUCUAUGUCCAAACUGAAUGAUUUACUUUUGACAAUGAUAGUGGGGAAAUCGAUUUUCUUAUCAAAUGAAUUUCAUUCAUCGAAUAGCUGAGUUCGUAAGAUCUUCUUAGACUGUCGGAGGGCGGAAUAAUUUUGUGAUGAUCUUGAUUUCAUUUACCUAGCAAAUAGAUCAAAUUAGUAGAUUGUGUCUCACACACAUACUUAAAAAAAAAAAAAAAAAAAAAAAAAAAGAGGAAACAUGUUGAUUAUAUCAAAAUUAGAAGGAAUCUAUAAUUCUAGUUCGUCUUGGAUAGGGACAUUAUUGCCAAUCUAAUAACUUCUAUAAGAAAUGUUGACAUGAAUAAAAAAGGAGGGGUUAGAAUAGCAUCUACAAAUAUUACCGAAAAUAUUGUUAAAAUAUUUCUACAAGAAGGUUUUAUUGAAAACGUUCAGAAACAUCAGGAAAGUAAUAAAUAUUUCUUGGUUUCAACUUUGCGACAUGGAAAAACCAGAAAAUGAAUAUAUAAAGCUAGAACCAUUUUAAAGCGUAUCAGCCGAUCCGGCUUACGAAUUUAUUCCAACUAUCAACGAACAUUUUAUGUGGAAUGGGAAUUGUAAGUCUUUCUACGUCUCGAGGUACUCCCAUCAAUCCUAUGGCUGUCUGCACAAGAGAAGCCAUAGAUUUUCUGUACUUGUUGACUCCAACACUUCCAGAGAAAAGUAUGAAAGAUUCAAGCUCCGAAGUAGUUCGCACUACAUACUCCAUCUCCUUCGCCAUCCCGCAUACUUUAAACAGAUCGCUAUACUUACUGUUCGAUUUCAUCAGCCAAAUUGCUUGCUCGAUCACAGACCUCCUUAUUCUCGGAAGCUUAACGGUCGAGCCAUCGUGUUUACGUAGUAUCUGCGCAAGUCUGUUCGCGAGCUCCGUCGCUUUAAUGCCUAAUUGAUCUACUUCCUUCGCAUAAUCUUCGGGACCUAUCAGUUUGCAUAUCUCCACGCUGAGGCCGAUUGAGACCUCUAGUAGUUUCCCUUCUUUUGUCAUAAUUGCUUCCAAUACCUGCAUAAAUAAAUCGCAAAAAUAAAAUAUUUCUGUACUUCAAAUUUUUGAAAAAUCUAGUAUAUAUUAUAGGUAAAAAUGCACAGAACUUAUCUGAACUAUCAUUCGUUUUGAAUCGGCUAUUCAAUCUUUCAAAAUUUUAAUUUUACGACCUAUUUUUUUAAUUUUUUUGAUUUAAGUCAGCUGAUGAUACUUUGGUUUGAAAAUUUAAGCUAAUUACUAGCUUCAAUGAGUUUAUAUAUUAGUUGCGAGAAAUAUAUAUAGUAUAGUAACUAAAUAUAUGAAGAUAAAUGAUGCAUUCAAUUUUUUAAUAUCAAAGUAUCAUCAGCUUUUAUGGUACUUAUUAAAGCACAAUGCCCUAAAUUUAUUCUCCAAAUUUAAAAUUUAUCACAAAUUUUUAUUUUUGCAAUUUUAAGUAAUAUUAUUUAACAAAAAAUAGCCAUUGCAUAGCAGGGCAAAAUAUCUUGUUCUUGCAUCACAUGUCAUAUAAUUUCUAUUGAUUGUUAUUUCCAAUCAAUUAAACCAAUCAAAGACAGUCUUACCGGGGGUAGGGCGGCACCAACUCCCCUAAGGCGACUGCAGAACUCCGACCCCGCGUACAUGCACAAAUUCCGCAGCAACUUCGAAGCAGGAACUCUGACGGCACCCACAUCGAGAAGACUGCCAAUCUGCAUCACAACCUCCUCCGACCCCUUUAAAAUCUCCGCACAGUUGCUCUUGCUCUCCGUCGUCAGCAUUGCCAGUGCAUCUCCGGCCUCGACAACUAUUUUCGCCUGCUCGCCCCUACCCUCCGGGCUUAAAAAGUUAGAGAGCAGCAGCUCGAUCACUUGGCCGGUGCUCCCGAUCUCCUCCUCGCAGCCUUUUCCAUCGCAAGGCCGGUAAGGAUCUCGAUCCCCAACAUCGACAGUGCGGGAUGGCACUUCCCGUACCUGAGGAUGUCCCGAAGGUUGAUCACCGCAAAGAUGUUAUCCGAUAUCUCCUUCCGCAGCAAUCUCCCUGUCUUGCCGGCCGUGCUUACUAGUCUCAUCACCACCUUCAGCGAUCUCUUUACUAAUGUGAUCCGUACCACCGGAACCCGCUCGUCUUGCAGCAGGCUUGGGCUAGUUCUGGUGAACUCUAUUAUCUUCGGGAGGAGGCCUCUCGUGUUCCGGAUUUGUCUGCAGUUGUCGACGUCAUGGGAGAGGUGCUUGAGAAUGUGCAGGCCGAGCAGGUUGAACGCAUAGUAUGUUUCAUCGUGAUCAUCCUCGCGCUUACCCGCGUGGAGCAGCGAAGCUAUGGACUGCAUUGCUCCAGGAAUCCCGAUGACUCGGAGCACCCUGCGCCUGUCACCAGCCAGCCUGGCCACGACCCUCGCAGCGUGCAGUCUGAUCUCCUCGUCCGCCGGACUUUUCCACCCGAGCAUCGCGACUAACCUCCGAACGGUCUGCGCGGAGGUUACAAUCCGGUCGACUGUGUCGUCGGCGUAGAGCUCGUGCAUGACGUAACUAUAGAGGAUCCUGGCGCCGAUGAGCCGCUCACCGCGGGACUCCGAAUUGACGAGCGCCAGCGCGAAGGAGGUCAGGUCCAUGUCGAGGGCGUCGAACACGCUCCCAGAAAUGCAUUUCCAAUAGGCGUUGUGGAAGAAGCGGCGGAGGGAGAUGAUCCCCGAGGCACCGAAGCCGCAGGCGCGGCGAGUCUGCUCGAGCAGCUGGCCGUAUGAAAUUUUCCAAUGCCAGUAGGCCUUCUCUAUGAGGAACAGCAGAGCCUGCGCCAGCGCCAGCCCAUAGAAGAUGUCGAGCGCCGGUGCCCGGUUCCUUUUGGUGGCGUCUUGAUCCACGUCGCCGUAGUGCUGCUCCACGAGGCGCAUCGCGGAGAGCGCGGCGCACGCGGUGGCUGACAAGAGCUGCAGCGACGUGAGGAUCCACCCGACAUUCCCGGAGACAGAGCAGGGCUCGGCCUUGGUGGCCCGGAAGAAGAACCCGGAGUCGAGCUCGUGGUUGCGGGUGAACACGCGGGUGCCCUCGAUGAGCACGAUGGUGGUCACGAAGUAGAAGUCCUUGGGCUGCAGCAGCACCGCAAAGCCGCCGAGCAGCACGACGGUGGCCCAGACGAACGCCAGCGUGCCGACGCCGCUGGCGGCCUUCUCCAGGAUGGCGAUGCGGAGGGCGAAGCGCGUCAGCUGCCUCUCCGGCGCCGCCGCUGAUGCAGCCGCAUCAUCGUCGUCGCUGUCGUCGUAGCCGCCGCCGCCGCCGCUCCUCUUCUUCCUUCUGCGCCCGUUGCGGUCCGACUCCCGGUCGGAGUAGGUGGCGCCCCAGUCGUUCGGGUGCUCGAUGACGUCGAGAAUGCUUCCGGCUCUGUCCAGACGUCGAGCAGCCAGACCUGCAGACCUCAACCGCCGCAAUUCCUCUGUUACGCGCCCUAGUCGGUAUUGAUCUCCCCAAGUUCUCGCAACAGGCCGCUGCACCUCAGUGACGUCUACUCCGUCCUCCUUGACAUCUAAGACGACUUCCACAAAGUCGUCGGGGGCAGCUAAUUCUGCUACAGCGUCGCCGCCGCACUCAGCAAGUUCUUGAUCGUUCGAAGUUUGCGCCAUUAAUUUUGAGCGGAUCUCAAAUUACUACGGACGUAGAUCUACAUAUACAGAUGUAUGUAUGCAUAACUGUGCGUUGACCAACCAAACAAAAUGAGGAUUCUCUUCAUAUAUUUUGCAUAAUAUUCUAAUCCUUCAUGCUGGUGGCUCCGAAAUGGGAUGAGCUGGCGUUGUCUCUUCUUAAUUAGUACUGCCAAUGGCACGUAGAUAUAAUUUGGACUGUAUUUUUUUUAAAAAAAUAUUAGAUGACUUUUUCAAUAUAUAUAUAUUUUUUAUAUUUUUUCAUAUAUAUAUAUAUAUAUAUAUAUAUAUAUAGAGAGAGAGAGAGUUGAGCUAGAAUACUCUCGAUAGCAAACGGGGCGUUUUACUAUCGAGUUGUUUUCGAUGAUAGAGCUUCCAAAUUGACGAUCGGCUCCGUUGAACAUGAUCUAUACCACUUGAAGUGUUUAGAAAUCAAAUUUCAAAUCUUUUCGACAUCAUUUGCCUAAUAAUCAAAGGGUUUCAAAAUUUGUAAUUUUAAUGGUGGAUAAGAGACGUUUUCUCGUUUAACGGUGUAAAGAUAUCCAAAUCAAUUGAAUUUUUGUUAGAAAAUUCUUUAAACUAUUUAAAACAAGAUCUAUACUCUUGAUCUUGAUUACAAGAUUCUAUCGAUCAUUUUUAAGAAUAUUCAUUUUCAGCCAUUUAUUUUUGUUCACUAGAUGGAUAAAAGACACAAUAUUCGAAAAUGCGUGGAAAUUGUGAUUGUUAGAUAGUUUAAAUGCCGUUUGAUCAUAUUUAAACGAGCGAUCGUACAAAUUUUGUACAGCGUCUAUCAUCAAAAGCAACUCGAUAAUAAAACGGCCCGUUUACUAUCGGAGAGUAUUCUAUGCCUCAACUCUUAUAGUAUAUUAUAUAAUUAUAUAUAUAUAUAAUAUAUAUAUAUAUAUAUAUAUAUCUAUAUAUAUAUAUAUAGUGAGGCUACGCGUGCGUUGUAAAAGUACCAAAACUUGGUCGGCUAUGUAAAUGUUUUUAUACCCGUUAGAUUUUCUGGCCUUUGAUCAUUUUUUUACCCAUUUAGAUUUAUACUAUUCAACCAACCAACCCACUCAAACUCUAGGGGGCCACAUCAUCCUAUACCGCACAUCUUUAAUCAUAGGGCCGAAAACUUACAAGCACCAAAUGCUUGAUACUUUUAAAAGCACUAGGAGCUCAUUUAUAUAUAUAUAUAUAUAUAUACAUAUAUAUAUAUAUAUAUAUAUAUAUAUAUAUACUACUUAUAAAAGCGUGAGUUUUGAUUUUUUUUUUUCUAAAAUUGUUUCUAUCCUUUUUACUAAUAUUUUCAUACCUAGUAAUUUUCAACCAAUCAUUUCAAAUAAUUCACUAAGUAAUAAUUUAUUCUCAAAUAAAAAUAUUAAUUUGUUGCCAUUAAAUCUUAUUUAACGAUUGAAAAUAAAAGUAUCUAUGUAGUAUCCUUGUUUUAUUUAUUAUGUAAUUAAUUAGUUUCUUUGAGUGGGUUGCAUACUAAUUAUGGUGGCUUGGAGCCACGUGUACCCAUGCAUGCUCAUCAACAUGCAUGUGCUUAGCAACUUGCACGUACACCCCCUCUCAUUGCAUGCAUAUCUGUUUAAUUAAGGAGGGUGUGCAUGCACUUCACUAAUUAAGUCUCUCGUUUCUCUCUCUUUCUCGUGCGACUGAAGCAGGGGACAAGCUUGAGGAGUGCCGCGGAGAGAUUUCGUUGUCGACGUCGCGCCGCGGAACCGAUCGAGCACGUACUUGAUGUCGGGGCAGCGCGAGGAAGCUGUGUGAGCGCGAGUCGUUGCUGUUAUCGUCGACCCACCGGACUUGAACAGCGGGUGUGGUGAGCUAUUCUCCAAUUCCUCCGAGGUUUCAGCUGAUUCUGCUAUUUCUACUCGAAAUGCUAUUUUGCUGAAAUUCACCGUUGACCGUGGGUAUUUCAGCUUGUACGCGACGUAGGAAUGUCGGAUCGCGACGAGACUUGGUUCCUUGGAUUCGGGACUUCGAGAGGAAUCCAUGAAACCCUUAUUUUCCAGAUUUGGUGAAGGUUAGCUUGGUCAAAUCCUUGUUGUACUCCACUGCUGCAAAAACUGGACUGAAACGGUGAAUUGUUUGGUGUAGAGCUUGGAGUUAGCGCGAUUCUUGGGUUCGAAGGGCUACGAUCGACCCAGCAGGUGGCGCCACAGCUGUGAGAGUGUACCGCUGCCAGGGGAUAGCUUUCGAGGUGGGUUUACAUCUGUUUAUUCCUAAGUACCGUAAUCGUCGACAUGUAUGAUUUUUCAGUUUUGGUAAUCAUGUUGUAGCUUGAUGUUCGUGAUGCUAUCCUGGAUAAAAUCAGUAUUGAGAACAUGACUAGUAAAUCUUAAAUGUACUAGUCUGGACCAGAAUUUGGACUAGGAUGAAAACCACGAUUUGAAAUCGGCAUGUAUGUUAAACUGACCUGAUUUAGCUCAGCGCAGUUAAUAAAUUAUGUACUGCGCAGUUGUCCUCAAGACGGUACUCCAGUAGUUUAGGAAUAUAUUUACGCCCGUCUGGUAUGCAGGAUAAUUUUUACAGGCUCCUUCAGUUGUUCCGGCACUGGGUGGGGCUGCAGAAGUGAACGGAUGACCGUGUCACCUUUUUGCGUCAGAUUGUAGGGCCACGUUACCCUGUUGGUUGUGUAGACCAGUUUGAGUCAGUUACUUGCUUUUGGCUAUGAGUAGCCUGCAUUACUGAGCUACGACAGAGAUAACUUUGCUGCAUACUCGGUUGGGUAGCCGCACGAGUCCACUCCGGAGUCAGCUUUGUGUUUCCGUGGUGUCGCUCAUGCCAGUUGGACUUGCUCUCCACGACCAGUUGUGGGAUAGAGCCCGAUAGUCGCAACGGGGCAGGGACGGGUGUAUUCACAGUCCCAGGGACGGGUAUGUUUACAGUCCCGAUUGGAUUGGGUCAGAUUUGGCAUGUCCUACAGUUGGUUAGUGUAGAGCAUGAUAGUGUAGUGACUUGUAGCGAUUGAGUUAUUUCCUGCAUUUUUCCUACUAUCCUGGCUCCCUUCUGUAGACUUAGUGGGUGGACCGAUGUUGUUUUGGGCGGCACCCACUGAGGACUACUUAUUUUUACAGUAGUUCUCACGCCCAGAUGUUACCCCUGUUUUGUAGAGCCACAGGUUUCGGCUGCUGCGCCUUCCGCGGAUCAGGAUCGAGGCAAGGACGUCGCGAGUUAGAGCCCUACCCGCUGAGCAGAGCUAGAGGCACCCUACUGCAGGUAGUUGUUUUACUUCGAGUUUAUGUACAUAGUACUUAACUCGCCAGUGCGAGUGAUGCUGUAUUUUAGAUUCUGAACUAUGUAUAUGAAGCUCAGUUUGUUUAGCUUUUGUUUACUCGAGCAGCUCUAUACUACUGUUUGUAGUAUUGUUUGAUUUACAGGUACUGAUGUCGCUUCGUAUACAAGGGAAAUUCCUUUGUAUACGGCGGAUUUGUCGGCGUGGCCGGAGAAACGAGACAUCCGGGGCGUGACAGAUUAAGUUGGUAUCAGAGCUUAGUUGUAGGUUGUUGGGACCUAGAAACCCUAAGUUGGCAAACCUUAGGAAGGCAAGACGUGAGAGGCGUGAUUUAUCGCGAAAGUCAACGAUUUGUUGUUCUAACUCCUCCUAGAGUGGAGUGAGUGAUUGGAGGAGUUCCUGUUUUGUCCUGAGAAAUUAUGUUGGCUGCAGACGACAUAAUUUUGGGAGGAAAAUAGGGACCGCCUUCUAGACUUUCGGUUGAUUGGGUCGAGAGUGUUUUGUUAUAUCUGACCCCGAUUUGUUUCUUUUAGCUAUGUAUCGUCGCCGAGGUCGACCGUCGUUGCGGGAGCGUGCCCAGUUGGCACGGGAUCGUGCUGAACCUUCUGAGAGACCUGAGCAGAUGGAGCAGAGUGCUCGGCAGGAGCAGAGGGACAGACCGGAGGCGAGUGCACCCCCUGUUGUGGAGCCGAGCGUGCGACCUGAGGCUAGCACACCCCCUGAUCUGAGUGCACAGUUGGCUGCCCUGACUGAGGUGACGAGGCAGUAGGGGGAGUUGUUGCAGAGGUUGUGUGAGAGGAUAGCUCAGUCACCGAGUUCAGCACCGAGUAUACCAGAGCAGAUUGUUUCCCCACCGACUACUCCAGCGUCAGCUCCAGCCGCAGCUAUGCCCCCACCAGUGGAGCUUCCUACAGCGCCAGUUGCGCCUGCUAGGGGACCCGUACAGUUGACAGAGGCCGAGCAGGAGCGAUGGACGGAGAGGUUGGCUCGUUUCCGCCGUUUUGACCCACCCAUUUUCGAUGGUAGCGACACUGAGGCCUGGGUUGUUGAGGGAUGGGUCAGUGCGAUGAAGAGGUUAUUUGAGGAUCUGUUCGUUCUAGAGGGGGAGUAGGUCUCACUUUGAUUUCCGGCAUUCGUACCCGUACUCUUUUUGAUACUGGAGCCUCACAUUCUUUUGUUAGCCGAGCAUUUGCAUUGUUGCAUGGUCUAGAGUUAGGGGCAUUGUCAAAGGCACGAGAGGUGCAGAUCCCGGACCAUGUUUUACAGGUUGCAGAGUGUUGUUGGUCAUGCCCGGUGCAGUUGGAUUCGUGGAUCAUGCCCGCAGACCUGUUGGUGCUAGGGCAGCUGCAGGACUUCGACGUUGUGCUCGGUAUGGAUUGGCUGGCGCGGUAUUAUGCUACCAUCGACUGUGGAGCGAGGACGGUGACGUUUCGCGAGCCAGGCCAGAAGGAGUUCACUUUCAGAGGCUGCAGGAGCACGCUGUUUGCCACCUGGAUAUCUUCGGCGAGGGCUCGACAGAUGCUGAGUAGCGGGUGUAUUGCUUUCUUAGCGACAGUUGUGGAGGUANNNNNNNNNNNNNNNNNNNNNNNNNNNNNNNNNNNNNNNNNNNNNNNNNNNNNNNNNNNNNNNNNNNNNNNNNNNNNNNNNNNNNNNNNNNNNNNNNNNNAUUUAUUAUAAUAAAUUUAUAAAUUUUUUUAAAAUUCUACUUAAACUUAAAUUUAAUAAAAAGAAUUUAUUAUAAUAUUUAAAUAUAAUUUAUUAUAAAUUUUAUUAUAAUAUUUAAAUAUAAAUAAUAUGUAUUAAUAUAGUACAAUUAAUAAUUUUAUAAUAAAAAUAACGUAUUUGUCACGCCCCGGGACCCGGCAUAGGCCCGCUCGGUGCGUGCUCAGACUCGCCAUAUGGCUGCACAUAUAAGGCGUUUACAACAAAAGAGAUAUGGAAGCAAGAAGAAAUAAAGUCACUAGAGAUAUCAGAACUACUAACAGCAAAUAGAGAAAGGGGAAAGUAAUCUAUUAAACAUAAAGAUAAAGUAAGUAUAAGAGUUAUCACAAAAAUACUACAAAAAGGGUGGUCUCUAUACAAGGUAUAACUCUCAUCCUCUCCCAAAAAGAAAACAAAGAAGAGGUAGACCACCUAUCGAACGUCCUUCGCUCACAAGCUAGCUCGUGGCGAUUCUCUUUCCGCGGUCCCUAACCUCGCCCGGAGUGGAAGGCUCUGAAAUAGAAACAUAAAAUAGAGGGCGUGAGAACUAUAAUUUAUAGUUCCCAGUGGGCAAUUACUGACCUCAGCACAAUGCACCACUAGGUCCAAUGAAAAUGGUAAGUAACGAUAAUAUUAAACAAUAAUAAGUUGCUGAAUUGAAAAUAUGUAUGAAAUGCAAUACUACUAUGCCACAGGAUAUAUGAUGUGUAACCAUUCUAUCAAAAUGAAAUAAGUCCAAUGCAUAGCUCGAAUGUUCUAUGAUGGCAACAAGCAUACUAAGAUGUAAUGAGUAAUACUAUCAAGUAUACUAUGAGUCUAUCCCAAUAUCCACCACUAUGCGGUAAGCAUGUCCAAGUAUCCAACUACUAUACCCUAUCUAGUAGUGAUUAAUCUUUGUAAGCUGGUGUCACGGUUCGAUCUCAUUUGGAACCUACACAAGUGUAGUCCAACUUGUGCCGCCUAAGUGUCGAUGGUAGCUCCAGCAUUCCUACUCUGGAAAUGAGUCUAUCCCUCCCGACCCCGUAGGUUUCUCGAUACCGCACGAGCGAACACAAGUCGCGUAGGCCAACUUCGAAGUGCCGGCUUAUAGGGAGCGACCCUCAGAAGCAUGUGCGAAUGAGUACAAAAGGCAAACAAACGUAGUCAAUAGCUCAAGUAUCCAAUCAUCAUGUCUCUAACAUUGUAGUAGUACUAGUAACCCAUCGGUCUAGAUCAAAGUCUCAAUGUGAUGUUCCAACACUCACCUUGCUUAAUGUUUCUUUAUGACACUUAAGCAUGCUAUAAGUUAAGCACAUUUUAUUUCUAUGUUCCCAUUAUGACAUUAACACUUUGUUCAUACGUGACUCGAGCUCAAUGCCGCUUAAUAGCAUUAGCCCAAUUAUUCUCAAGUAGUACCAGUCCCCAAGCCUCUUUAUGGCUUACUUAGAUUCCUUAUGUCUUAAUUAGGCAUAGGUUUAAAUGCAUGAAAACAACGCUCGUCUCUACAAUAGGAACGUGAUCCCAAAGCUCACACAAGAAUGUUGAAUGCAACAUAAGCCCACAUGCAAACUCUCUACUACAUAGAGGUCCGAAAAUUUAUUAUACAUAACAUAGGUAUGUUAAGCAUUCUAAAAUUGACAAUAAAUAUAUUUAUCAUGAAAAUACAUGAAUUUCUACUUUACGAAGUAUAAACUAUCGGAUAUGAGGAUUUCUCAUAUUCUAGGCUAGGUCAAACCCACCGAACAACCCGCAACCCUUCGUUUGCUCCAACGAAGGUGUCCACUAAGCUCCUAGCACCCUAGAAGCAUCAAAAAGUGAGCUACAAGAAGUAAACGAACAACUACUAGCUCAAACAUUAACCAGCAAGACAAAAUGGCCAAAAUCUCACCUAUAGUGAAGAAAUUCCUUUUCAAAGCUCAAAUGGAAGUCAAAUCCCUUUCAAAGCAACCUAAACCAAGAUUCUAAUCCCAUUAGAUUAGCUCCAAAAGCCUCCAAACAAAAAGCCCCAAAAUAAAUCCUAAAAUCUAAAUCUAGGGUUUCAUCUCCCAAAAUCUACCAAAACUAGGUUUAGAGGGGAGGAACAAGCAACUAACCUCUUUAAAAGCUCCAAUCCAAACUCCAAGAGUGAAGGUCUCCUCUCUAGCAAACUCCAAGUCCAAACCUCCAAGCACCAACAAGGUGGGAAAAGAGGAAGAGGGUGAAGCUCCAAGUCCUCAAACAAGCUCUUCUUCUUCUUCUUUCUUCUCCUUCUCCUCCUUCUUCUUCUUCUCUCUCUAAGAUGCAAGGGAGAAUGUAAAAUGAGGGAGAGAGAGAAGUGAAAUGGCCAUAUAGGCCCUCUAUUGUAACAAAAUCCAGAAAAGUCCCUCUACUUUUCAUCCUAUGCAUCAGCCCGAACUGGGCAGUUUUCGCCCAGAGGGACUGAUCUCUCCCAGCUGGGAGCGAUCCCUCGGGACCCUCCGCAAAACCAGCUCUCGGGAACCGGUCUCCCUAGCCGGGGACCGGUUGCCUCACCGUGGGGGAUCAGUCUCUCCCACCAGGGACCUGUCCCCGAGAGUAAAAAUCUCAGAACUUGUCCAGAAACUCAGAUUUCACACUUUUUGGUCGGAAUACAGUCUACGACCCUUCACCAAGUGUGGAAAAAGCUCGAAACACCAAACCCAAACACUCGAACCUUGCAAUUUGCGAAAGUCCAAUGUGUUACAUUCACCCCUCCUAAAAAGGAGUUUCGUCCGCGAAACUCGAAAAGCAAAGUACCUCAAAUUUCCAUCUGGAACAGAUGGGGAUAGCGUUCCUGCAGUGCGCUCUCCAGCUUCCAAGUGGCCUCGCGCUCCUCGUGGUUGCUCCAAAGAACCUUCACGUAAGGGAUCUCGCGGUUCCGCAGCCUCUUCAUCUCACGAGCUAAGAUCCUCCCUGGCUGCUCCUCGAAACUCAAAUCCUCCCUCAGCUCCAAUGGCGUCGCAUCAAGCACAUGAGUCGUGUCAUGGAUGUACUUCCGAAGGACCGAUACAUGAAAGACGUUGUGUACACCCGAUAGGUUCGGUGGUAGAGCAAGUCAAUACGCUACCGGGCCUACACGUUCCAAAAUCUCAUAUGGUCCAAUGAAUCGAGGGCUCAACUUGCUCCGGAUUCCAAAUCUUCUAAUCCCUGGAGUCGGCGAGACUUUUAAGAACACAUGAUCUCCAAUCUGAAACUCUAAGUCUUGUCGACGCUUAUCUGCAUAACUCUUUUGCCUACUCUGGGUUGUCAACAGUCGCUCCCGGGCAAUGCAAACCUUAUCCUCUGCUUCCUGGAGCACGUCAGGGCCUAAAGCCAAUCUCUCGCCUACUUCACUCCAGUGAAGUGGUGAUUUACACUUCCGUCCACAGAGUGCCUCGAAAGGUGCCAUCUUGAUGCUUGCUUGAUAACUAUUGUUAUAAGCAAACUCCGCCAUUGGUAGAUUCUGCGACCAUCCUCCCCGUAAGUCUAUCACGCAGGCUCAGAGCAUAUCCUCAAGAGUCUGUAUGGUGCGCUCUAACUGCCCGUCACUCUGUGGGUGAAAAGCGGUAUUGAAGUCCAAGCGCGUACCCAAAGAUCCUGUAGACUCCUUCAAAAGUGAGAUACAAAUCGGGGGUCUCGAUUCGAUACUAUAGAAGUAGGUACUUCGUGCAAUUGCACUAUCUCAUCCAAAUAUACCUGUGCGAGUCUCUUACCAGCCCAAGUAGUGUGGAUAGGUAUGAAAUGUGCCGAUUUCGUCAACCUAUCCACGAUCACCCAAAUAGCGUCAUGCCCGGCCUGUGAGCGGAGCAAUCCCAUCACGAAGUCCAUAGUGAUCUUCUCCCAUUUUCAUUCUGGAAUCGGUAAGCUCUGCAACUUCCCCGCAGGAACUCGGUACUCAGCUUUAACCUGUUGGCAAGUUAGACAUCUCGCAACAAACUCACCAACGUCCUUCUUAAUCCCGGGCCACCAGUAAAGCAACUUUAAGUCCUUGUACAUCUUGGUGCCUCCCGGAUGUAUAGCGUAGGGCGUUCGGUGUGCUUCUUGAAGGAUUUUCUCUCUAAGUGCCGAUUUCGCCCGUACACAAACCCGUUCGCGGAAACGCAUCAAUCCUACACCGUCCUCAGUGAAGUCACCGGCGCAACCAUCAACCAUCUUAGCUCUAAUCCUUUGUAACUCCACAUCGUGAGUUUGCUUUUCCUUGAUCCGAUCCAAAAGUGUAGGUUGCACCGCCAAGGUCAUCAAUAUCAAAGGUGUAUCAGGAGCCACCGCCUCCAACUCCAACCGCUUCAUCUGCUCGAUCAACGGCGGUUGAGUAACCACAAGUAUCGCUAAGUUUUUCGUCGAUUUCCUACUUAGCGCAUCCGCCACCACGUUAGCCUUGCUUGGGUGGUACAGGAUCGUCAAAUCAUAGUCCUUGAGGAGCUCCAACCAUCUGCGCUGCCUCAAGUUCAACUCCUUCUGAGUGAAUAAAUACUUUAAGCUCUUAUGAUCCGUAUACACUUCACACUGCUCGCCAUAAAGAUAAUGGCGCCAUAGCUUCGAAGCAAAGACUACGGCCGCCAAUUCCAAGUCGUGAGUAGGGUAAUUUCUCUCAUAAUUCUUUAACUGGCGAGAAGCAUACGCGAUCAUUUUCCCGUCCUGCAUCAAAACACAGCCCAAUCCUUUAAAAGAAGCAUCGCUAUAAAUCACAUACCCUACUCCUGCAAUCGGCAAGGUUAGGAUCGGGGCAGUCGUCAAUCUCUGGUUUAGUUCUUGAAAGCUCCUUUCACACGCAUCAUUCCAGAUAAACUUGGUGCCUUUAUGCGUGAGUCUCGUGAGGGGAGUAGAUAACCUCGCAAAUCCCUCAACAAAUCUCCGGUAAUAGCCGGUAAAGCCAAUAAAGCUCCUUAUCUCAGUAACACUCGUCGGCCUUGGCCAAUCCUUGAUAGCCUUAAUUUUCCUCGGAUCCACGGCUAUACCCGAUCCAGAAAUCAAGUGGCUCAAGAACGCCACCUCUCUGAGCCAAAACUCACACUUUUUCAACUUGGCGAAGAGUUUUCCUUCCCGAAGCACUUGAAGUACUAGUCUCAAGUGUUCCUCAUGAUCCACAACACUUCGGAAAUGGACCAAAAUGUCGUCGAUGAACACCACGACGAAUCUGUCUAAGUAAGGCUUAAACACACGGUUCAUUAAAUCCAUGAAAGCUGCCGGAGUAUUGGUAAACCCAAACGGUAUAACAGUAAACUCGUAGUAUCCAUACCGUGUUCUCAAAGCCGUCUUUGACACAUCCUCAGGCAUGAUCUUUAAUUGAUAAUAUCCCGACUGCAAGUCGAUCUUGGAAUAUACACUCGAUCCUUGCAGUUGAUCUAACAGAUCAUCGAUUCUCGGCAACGGAUACUUGUUCUUAAUCGUGACUUUAUUAAGUUCACGAUAGUCCACAAAAGAUCUUGCAACUGUACCUUCAGCUCCUUCAAUUCCACUGAUGCCAUCCUACAUGGCGCUUUUAAGAUUGGAGUAGUCUCGGGGACGAGAUCUACAACAAACUCAAUCUCUCUAUCCGGUGGUAUGCCUGGUAGCUCCGCUGGAAACACAUCCCCAAACUCCCAGACGACGGGGAUGUCCUCAAUCCUAGGGGCGUCGGUUUCACCCCGCAACACAAUAGUAGCCAAGUAUGCUACGCAGCCUUUGCUGAUCAACUGUCUAGCUCGAGAGGAGCUAAUUGUCAUCGCAAACAGCGAACUCUGGCAUCCUCGGUACAUGACUUCCGCCUGUCCCGACUCUCUAAACGUCACCGUUCGAUUCUUGCAAUCGAUAGUGGCGUAGUACUUGGUUAACCAAUCCAUUGCCCAAAACCACAUCAAAUUCUCCAAGUUUGCGCAAUACGAAUAAAUCCGCGAGCAUGAUCCAAUCCUCUACUCUAACAGGGCAACUGGGGCAGAUCUCUUUAAUGUCCAAGAAGUGGUCGGGAACAACAACACGUCCCGGAUGUGACAGGAAAACAAGUGGGAUGCCAUGCAACUCGGCAAACAGCCGAUCAAUGAAUGAAUGCGAUGCACCGGUAUCAAAUACAUCACGUACUCGAAUGCCAUAAAGUAAGAUGAUACCUGCAACCACAUUCUCGACUGCUGCCUCCUCCGUCUGGGCCGCAUACAUGCGCCCGCUCGGGUCCUGUCGUGACCCCUCCGUCUGGCUCGGUGCAGGUGGCCGUCCGGCCUAGUGGUGUGCAGAAAGCGUCCCCUGGCUGGGACCCGGUGGCCGUCCGGCCUAGUGGUGUGCAGAAAGAUUCCCCUGGCUGGGACCCGAUGAUGUUGGUGCAAAUGCCGAAGAUGGCGGCGCUGGCGAAUGGCGCUGGCGAUGGACCCCUCGGGCAGUCUGACUGGAAGUGGCCCUCCUGACCGCACAAGUAGCACCUGCCCUGGCUGCAUGAACACUGCCGCGAAUAAUGAGGACCACCGCAGAUCACGCAGCGCGGAGCCUGACAACGAUCAGGUCCUCAUCGCUAAGUAGACGAGUCACGUCCACGCGACUGGCUCCGACUCCUGGGGUGCCUCGGCGGCCUCCGUGAGUGCGCCUGACUCGCACUCUCAGCUGCAGGCCUCUUGCCCUUCUCCUUAUCCGAGCCCUCACAACGCUCUUAGAGCUCCACCGCGCCGCUCUCCACGAUGAGCGCACGGUUCACAACCUCCCGGUAGGUCUGGAGGUUGGAGGACUGCACCAUCCGAAAGAUCGAAGGCCGCAAUCCACGCUAAAAAAUGCGGGCCUUGUCCUCGUCAUCGCGUACUACGAAGGGUACACAGUGGAGUAGCCGGGAAAAGCUCCCUCUCGUACUCGGCCACGAUCCGCUCCUCUUGGCGCAAGCUGCGCAAAUCCUGCUCCAUCUUCCUCUUGACGCUAGUAGGGAAGUAGUGCGCCAGAAAAAGCUCCUUGAACUUCUUUCACGAAAUCACUGCCAGAUCAGUGUUGGGGUUGUCCUGGAUAUCCAACCACCAAUGGUAGGCCUCGCCGUCCAAGAAGUGUGUAGCGAGCCAAACUCUAUCCAUCUCCUCCACGAAGGUGUCGCGGAAGAGCUUCUCCAUAUGCAUCAACCACUUCUCAACAAUCCAGUGGUCGACAUUCUCUCCAUCAAACAUCCUCGGGCUGCACCUCCUGAACUCGCCGAGGCGAUCCAUAAGUCGAUCCCGCUCUGCUCCCUCGGCCAUCACGGGGAAAGCUGCCCUCGCCGCAGGUAUCUGAACUGGUGGUGCCGCAACCGCCUCCUCCCGUGGUGCGGUCGCCGGUACCGCAUGUGAAGAACUAGGCGCGGGGGACUGCGCCCUCGGCGCGACAUCCACGACGGGUGCUGGCAGUGUGGGAACCUGGGUCUCCCUAGAAGCUGCCGCCUGCUGUAGCAAGAGGUCCUCCAGAUGCUUCAUCCGUGCCUCCUAUCGCUGUGCCACCUCGGCUUGUCUCUGAGCGGCCGCCGCCUGCUGCGCUACAAGAUUAGGGAGGGCCGCAAGCUGUGAGCUCAAGUCGCGGACCUCACUAGACCCGAAAGUAGCGGAGGUCUCGACCUCCUCAAGGUGUGCCGCAUCAUCCGCUCCAGCAGAUUGGGAGCGUGUAAUCGGCAUCGACACUACAAAGUAUAAAAGCGCAAAUUAGUAACCUGCGCUAUCGCAACCCCACUCAAGAUAACCGAAACCCAAAUCAUGUGAAAGUAAAGAAGCAUUCUUCACUACUAACUCCCGAUGUUACAUUGUCGGCCGCCAACGUAACCCUCCGCGAAGUUAGAAGCCAUAUACUUCAGUCAAACUCCAACUUUUCGGAGUUGUCAAGAUACCUAAUCAAGAUACUUUCGCCUACAAAUUAAAUAGACCUCGUCUCUCACGAGCCUAUUUUCUAUAGUCCGACUGGCCUAAGGUUUGCUAGGUCCUCUAAGACUCAACCCUAGGCUCUGAUAUCAAAUUAAUCUGUCA
This 38162-nucleotide long non-coding RNA is filed under the name Ananas comosus (pineapple). Its description in RNAcentral is "long non-coding RNA (ACOM_LNC026724)". Lineage: Eukaryota; Viridiplantae; Streptophyta; Magnoliopsida; Poales; Bromeliaceae. The record is from RNAcentral.